This 213-nucleotide ribosomal RNA is filed under the name Pleosporales sp. Its description in RNAcentral is "partial large subunit ribosomal RNA". The record is from RNAcentral. Lineage: Eukaryota; Fungi; Ascomycota; Dothideomycetes; Pleosporales.
AAGCGCUUGCAGCCAGACUUGCCUGUAGUUGCUUAUCCGAACUUUUGUUCGGUGCACUCUUCUAUAGGCAGGCCAGCAUCAGUUUGGGCGGUUGGAUAAAGGUCGCUGUCAUGUACCUCCUCUCGGGGAGGCCUUAUAGGGGCGACGUCAUGCAACCAGCCUGGACUGAGGUCCGCGCAUCUGCUAGGAUGCUGGCGUAAUGGCUGUAAGCGG